UAUGUGGUCCUAAGCGGGCAUCUAAUUAGGACUAAAGGAUUGGCGGUAACGGAUGGGGAUGCGUCCGAUUAGCUUGACGGCGGGGUAACGGCCCACCGUGGCGACGAUCGGUAGGGGUUCUGAGAGGAAGGUCCCCCACAUUGGAACUGAGACACGGUCCAAACUCCUACGGGAGGCAGCAGUGAGGAAUAUUGGUCAAUGGGCGAGAGCCUGAACCAGCCAAGUAGCGUGAGGGAAGACUGCCCUAUGGGUUGUAAACCUCUUUUGUGUGGGGAUAAAGUGAGGGACGUGUCCCUCAUUGCAGGUACCGCACGAAUAAGGACCGGCUAAUUCCGUGCCAGCAGCCGCGGUAAUACGGAAGGUCCGGGCGUUAUCCGGAUUUAUUGGGUUUAAAGGGAGCGCAGGCCGUCCUUUAAGCGUGCUGUGAAAUGCCGCGGCUCAACCGUGGCACUGCAGCGCGAACUGGGGGACUUGAGUACGCACGAGGUAGGCGGAAUUCGUGGUGUAGCGGUGAAAUGCUUAGAUAUCACGAAGAACUCCGAUUG
RNAcentral lists this ribosomal RNA (545 nucleotides) under uncultured Prevotellaceae bacterium. Its description in RNAcentral is "bacterial SSU rRNA". It matches the Rfam family "Bacterial small subunit ribosomal RNA", at positions 172 to 715 of the family's 1533-position model. The record is from RNAcentral. Lineage: Bacteria; Pseudomonadati; Bacteroidota; Bacteroidia; Bacteroidales; Prevotellaceae.